ACUCCUACGGGAGGCAGUAGUGGGGAAUAUUGCACAAUGGGGGGAAACCCCUGAUGCAGCCAUGCCGCGUGUGUGAAGAAGGCCUUCGGGUUGUAAAGCACUUUCAGUAGGGAGGAAGGUAGUGUAGUUAACACCUGCAUUAUUUGACGUUACCUACAGAAGAAGCACCGGCUAACUCCGUGCCAGCAGCCGCGGUAAUACGGAGGGUGCGAGCGUUAAUCGGAAUUACUGGGCGUAAAGCGCAUGCAGGCGGCCUGUUAAGUCAGAUGUGAAAGCCCGGGGCUUAACCUCGGAAUUGCAUUUGAAACUGGCAGGCUAGAGUCUUGUAGAGGGGGGUAGAAUUUCAGGUGUAGCGGUGAAAUGCGUAGAGAUCUGAAGGAAUACCAGUGGCGAAGGCGGCCCCCUGGACAAAGACUGACACUCAGAUGCGAAAGC
This 435-nucleotide ribosomal RNA is filed under the name uncultured bacterium. RNAcentral's name for it is "bacterial SSU rRNA". It matches the Rfam family "Bacterial small subunit ribosomal RNA", at positions 335 to 760 of the family's 1533-position model. The record is from RNAcentral.